RNAcentral lists this ribosomal RNA (774 nucleotides) under uncultured bacterium. Its description in RNAcentral is "bacterial SSU rRNA". It matches the Rfam family "Bacterial small subunit ribosomal RNA", at positions 609 to 1384 of the family's 1533-position model. The record is from RNAcentral.
UUAACCAUAGUNCGCUUUGGAAACUGUUUAACUNGAGUGCAGAAGGGGAGAGUGGAAUUCCAUGUGCAGCGGUGAAAUGCGUAGAUAUAUGGAGGAACACCGGUGGCGAAAGCGGCUCUCUGGUCUGUAACUGACGCUGAGGCUNGAAAGCGUGGGGAGCGAACAGGAUUAGAUACCCUGGUAGUNCACGCCGUAAACGAUGAGUGCUAGGUGUUAGGCCCUUUCCGGGGCUUAGUGCCGCAGCUAACGCAUUAAGCACUCCGCCUGGGGAGUACGACCGCAAGGUUGAAACUCAAAGGAAUUGACGGGGGCCCGCACAAGCGGUGGAGCAUGUGGUUUAAUUCGAAGCAACGCGAAGAACCUUACCAGGUCUUGACAUCCCGAUGCCCGCUCUAGAGAUAGAGUUUUACUUCGGUACAUCGGUGACAGGUGGUGCAUGGUUGUCGUCAGCUCGUGUCGUGAGAUGUUGGGUUAANNNNNNCAACGAGCGCAACCCUUAUUGUUAGUUGCCAUCAUUCAGUUGGGCACUCUAGCGAGACUGCCGGUAAUAAACCGGAGGAAGGUGGGGAUGACGUCAAAUCAUCAUGCCCCUUAUGACCUGGGCUACACACGUGCUACAAUGGCUGGUACAACGAGUCGCAAGUCGGUGACGGCAAGCUAAUCUCUUAAAGCCAGUCUCAGUUCGGAUUGUAGGCUGCAACUCGCCUACAUGAAGUCGGAAUCGCUCGUAAUCGCGGAUCAGCACGCCGCGGUGAAUACGUUCCCGGGCCUUNU